This 468-nucleotide ribosomal RNA is filed under the name uncultured bacterium. Its description in RNAcentral is "partial 16S ribosomal RNA". It matches the Rfam family "Bacterial small subunit ribosomal RNA", at positions 28 to 507 of the family's 1533-position model. The record is from RNAcentral.
GACGAACGCUGGCGGCGUGCUUAACACAUGCAAGUCGAACGGAAAGGCCCUGCUUUUGUGGGGUGCUCGAGUGGCGAACGGGUGAGUAACACGUGAGUAACCUGCCCUUGACUGUGGGAUAAGUUAAGGAAACUGGGGCUAAUACCGGAUAGGAGCUCCUGAUGCAUGGUGGGGGUUGGAAAGUUUCGGCGGUUGGGGAUGGACUCGCGGCGGAUCAGCUUGUUGGUGGGGUAGUGGCUUACCAAGGCUUUGACGGGUAGCCGGCCUGAGAGGGUGACCGGCCACAUUGGGACUGAGAUACGUCCCAGACUCCUACGGGAGGCAGCAGUGGGGAAUAUUGCACAAUGGGCGGAAGCCUGAUGCAGCAACGCCGCGUGCGGGAUGACGGCCUUCGGGUUGUAACCCGCUUUCGCCUGUGACGAAGCGUGAGUGACGGUAAUGGGUAAAUAAGCACCGGCUAACUACGUG